This is a small nucleolar RNA of Panicum hallii, 109 nucleotides long. NCBI's taxonomy places the organism in Eukaryota, Viridiplantae, Streptophyta, Magnoliopsida, Poales, Poaceae. The record is from RefSeq and is a predicted model, not a curated record.
AUCCCGUGGUGAGGACACGCUAGGAUGUACUCCUGAAGUCUCUCCCAAGCUUCAGUAAUAGACUCAUUAGACGCCUGCUGGAAACUGGAGAUUCUUCCUCGAUGAGCAU